RNAcentral lists this ribosomal RNA (421 nucleotides) under uncultured bacterium. RNAcentral describes it as "bacterial SSU rRNA". It matches the Rfam family "Bacterial small subunit ribosomal RNA", at positions 29 to 454 of the family's 1533-position model. The record is from RNAcentral.
AUUGAACGCUGGCGGCAUGCUUUACACAUGCAAGUCGAACGGUAGACCCUUUCGGGGGUUGAGAGUGGCGAACGGGUGAGUAAUGCAUCGGAACGUGCCUAGUCGUGGGGGAUAACGUAGCGAAAGUUACGCUAAUACCGCAUACGCACUAAGGUGGAAAGCGGGGGACCGUAAGGCCUCGCGCGAUUGGAGCGGCCGAUGUCGGAUUAGCUAGUUGGUGAGGUAAAGGCUCACCAAGGCGACGAUCCGUAGCGGGUCUGAGAGGAUGAUCCGCCACACUGGGACUGAGACACGGCCCAGACUCCUACGGGAGGCAGCAGUGGGGAAUUUUGGACAAUGGGCGCAAGCCUGAUCCAGCCAUGCCGCGUGCGGGAAGAAGGCCUCGGUUGUAACGUACCGUCGUACGACGAAGAAAGUAACG